UACGUAGGGUGCAAGCGUUAAUCGGAAUUACUGGGCGUAAAGCGUGCGCAGGCGGUGAUGUAAGACAGUUGUGAAAUCCCCGGGCUCAACCUGGGAACUGCAUCUGUGACUGCAUCGCUGGAGUGCGGCAGAGGGGGAUGGAAUUCCGCGUGUAGCAGUGAAAUGCGUAGAUAUGCGGAGGAACACCGAUGGCGAAGGCAGGUCUCUGGGCUGACACUGACGCUCAUGCACGAAAGCGUGGGGAGCAAACAGG
This 253-nucleotide ribosomal RNA is filed under the name uncultured bacterium. RNAcentral's name for it is "partial 16S ribosomal RNA". It matches the Rfam family "Bacterial small subunit ribosomal RNA", at positions 524 to 776 of the family's 1533-position model. The record is from RNAcentral.